Molecule: long non-coding RNA, 1461 nt
Organism: Ananas comosus (pineapple)
Lineage: Eukaryota; Viridiplantae; Streptophyta; Magnoliopsida; Poales; Bromeliaceae
Exons: 7
Source: RefSeq, a predicted model, not a curated record
UGCUAACCGAACUCACACUUGUUUAAUAGCAGGCUUAUGAGAGUUUAAGCGAUGGCCUUGGUAGGAGUGCCUCGGCUCUUUUUGGUACUCCUCUGAAGGUCUACCAGCAUGGAGCAGGUGCGAGGUCGGCUCUAACUUCUGCUUUCCGAGCAGCUCCUGCUGCUGCGAUAGCUCCCGUCUCUGCUUCUGCUCGUGCCGUUCACUGUGCACUUCUUGGACUGCGAAACAGCUUAGAUCCUGAACACAAAAAGAAGUCCAUGGACAAAUAUUGGGGACCUUCAUGAUCAUAGUACCAAUUGUGAAGAAAAGGUUAGUCGGAAAAGAUAGAUUGACACGAUUUCAGCAAAAUGCUGAUUUGUACAGUUUUGCACUAAGUUUUAUGAUUUAAUGUGGAGCUCAAGUUACAACUUAGAAUGGUAUUGCUAUAACACCAUGCCCCUUCGUUGCUUGAACUAAUUAUCAGAUGAUCAUCGCCUGCCAAGAUUGUAAGGUGCUUGUAGGUGAUGCAUUUCCGAAGUCUUUUUGUUAUGAUGCUACAGAGAGAUCUUAACUUACUGUGCUCCAACUGUAUUUAGGCAUCUGAGUACUAAUUAUUUGAUUUCAUGAUGUUGUUUUCUUUUAUUGCUUGUUUCCCGUGUCCCGUGGUGGUCAUAUUGGAUGUGAAUGGUUUACAUAUCUUUUUGCAGAUGAGCUCUAUAUGAUCGAUUUGGUGUAUUUUUCGAUGAUGAGUUACCAAUGAAAACUGGAAUUUGUUAUUUGCAAAAGUUUGCUACCUUUCUAGUUAUUAUGUAGAAACUAGCAUAUAAUUCAAGAGAAUGUUUCACAACAUUCUGUGAUGAGUGUUGUCAACCCACUACUCUGAACUUGCUUCUAUUUCUUCCUCUUUGCUCUAAUUGUCUUUGUGUUUUUCAGAGUCUUUUGUAACAUGGCAUCAUCUAGCUUUUGGAACUUUCGUAUCUAUUUCGUGCUUGCUAACAUUGUACUAGUCGUAAUUUUCAGAUUUGUCACGACGACUUGAUCAUAGACCAUCAACUUGUAACAGUACUCUGAUUUUUAAGUGUAAAUUAUGAAGAAACUCUCAUUGGAUGCUACAUACAUGUCGGCAAUGAAAAGCAAGAUGCUGGGUCUCCUCAAUCCCCACUAGGUAGCGGGACGGAUGUCUUUGAUCUACCUUUCCACAUGGCUAGAGAUCAAAUAGAAGAGAGUUUACGGACCAAGAUGGCUUCUAUUAAGGUUCAAGUAUAUAGUCGUGGGGCUGAUCAGAAUUCGUUUAUGCACUUUUUGAUUUUUCUUAUCAAACAAUUUUUAUUUUUUUGUAUUUUUUUCAGUUAGAGAGUUUAAUUUGUUAUAAUUACUACAACAUAUGAGUGGAUAUUGUUGUUGUGACGUAUGGAUAUUUGAUUUUAGUUUUAUCAUUUUAACGAGAAUUUAAGGAACUUUGUUGAUUGCUUUUUUUUUUUA